RNAcentral lists this ribosomal RNA (513 nucleotides) under uncultured bacterium. RNAcentral's name for it is "bacterial SSU rRNA". It matches the Rfam family "Bacterial small subunit ribosomal RNA", at positions 35 to 518 of the family's 1533-position model. The record is from RNAcentral.
CGGCUGGCGGCGUGCCUAAUACAUGCAAGUCGAACGGUCUUUUCUAUGGAAGCUUGCUUCCACUGAGAAGAUAGUGGCGAACGGGUGAGUAACACGUGGGUAACCUGCCCAUAAGAGGGGGAUAACAUCCGGAAACGGGUGCUAAUACCGCAUAGUUUUCUUGAUUGCAUGAUUGAGAAAGGAAAGACGGCCUUUGUGCUGUCGCUUAUGGAUGGACCCGCGGCGUAUUAGUUAGUUGGUGAGGUAACGGCUCACCAAGACGAUGAUACGUAGCCGACCUGAGAGGGUGAUCGGCCACAUUGGGACUGAGACACGGCCCAAACUCCUACGGGAGGCAGCAGUAGGGAAUCUUCCGCAAUGGACGAAAGUCUGACGGAGCAACGCCGCGUGAGUGAAGAAAGGUUUUCGGAUCGUAAAACUCUGUUGUCAGAGAAGAACAAGUUGGAGAGUAACUGCUCCAGCCUUGACGGUAUCUGACCAGAAAGCCACGGCUAACUACGUGCCAGCCGCAGC